RNAcentral lists this ribosomal RNA (1412 nucleotides) under uncultured bacterium. Its description in RNAcentral is "bacterial SSU rRNA". It matches the Rfam family "Bacterial small subunit ribosomal RNA". The record is from RNAcentral.
UAGAGUUUGAUCCUGGCUCAGGACGACCUCUGGCGGCGUGCCUAACACAUGCAAGUCGAGCGGAGAUGAUGCGAGGAAUUUUUCGGAUGGAAUCGUAUUAUUUUAGCGGCGGACGGGUGAGUAACGCGUGAGCGACCAACCUUGCACGGGGGGAUAACGGACCGAAAGGUUCACUAAUACCGCAUGACACCACGGUGUUGCAUGACACAGGGGUCAAAGGAGGAAUCCGGUGCAAGACGGGCUCGCGUCCGAUUAGGUAGUUGGUGGGGUAAAGGCUCACCAAGCCAAUGAUCGGUAGCCGACCUGAGAGGGUGAUCGGCCACAUUGGAACUGCGACACGGUCCAAACUCCUACGGGAGGCAGCAGUGAGGAAUAUUGGUCAAUGGGCGAAAGCCUGAACCAGCUAUGUAGCGUGAAGGAUGACUGCCCUAUGGGUUGUAAACUUCUUUUGUUCGGGAAUAACAGACUUCACUUGUGGAGUUUUGCAUGUACCGUUCGAAUAAGGAUCGGCUAACUCCGUGCCAGCAGCCGCGGUAAUACGGAGGAUCCUAGCGUUAUUCGGAUUUAUUGGGUUUAAAGGGAGCGUAGGCGGGGGGUCAAGUCAGCUGUGAAAUACGUACGCUUAACGUUCGUCUUGCAGUUGAAACUGGUUUUCUUGAGUGCGUAUGAGGCAGGCGGAAUUCGUGGUGUAGCGGUGAAAUGCUUAGAUAUCACGAGGAACUCCUAUUGCGAAGGCAGCUUGCUGGUCCGCUACUGACGCUGAUGCUCGAAGGUGCGGGUAUCGAACAGGAUUAGAUACCCUGGUAGUCCGCACAGUAAACUAUGGACACUCGCUGUCGGCGAUAUACUGUCGGUGGCUAAGCGAAAGCAUUAAGUGUCCCACCUGGGGAGUACGUCGGCAACGAUGAAACUCAAAGGAAUUGACGGGGGCCCGCACAAGCGGAGGAACAUGUGGUUUAAUUCGAUGAUACGCGAGGAACCUUACCCGGGUUUGAAUUGCUGAAUUUGCAUUUGGAGACAUUUGCUUCCCUUUUGGGUUUCAGUGAAGGUGCUGCAUGGUUGUCGUCAGCUCGUGCCGUGAGGUGUCGGCUUAAGUGCCAUAACGAGCGCAACCCUUGCCGUUAGUUGCCAUCGGGUCAUGCCGGGCACUCUAUUGGGACUGCCAUCGUAAGAUGUGAGGAAGGUGGGGAUGACGUCAAAUCAGCACGGCCCUUAUGUCCGGGGCGACACACGUGUUACAAUGGGGGGUACAGCGGGUUGCUACCUGGUGACAGGGUGCUAAUCUUUAAAACCUCUCUCAGUUCGGAUCGGAGUCUGAAACUCGACUCCGUGAAGCUGGAUUCGCUAGUAAUCGCGCAUCAGCCACGGCGCGGUGAAUACGUUCCCGGGCCUUGCACACACCGCCCGUCAAG